GACGAACGCUGGCGGCGUGCUUAACACAUGCAAGUCGAACGGAAAGGCCCUGCUUUCGUGGGGUGCUCGAGGGGCGAAGGGGUGAGUAACACGUGAGUAACCUGCCCUUGACUUUGGGAUAACUUCAGGAAACUGGGGCUAAUACCGGAUAGGAUCUCCUGCUGCAUGGUGGGGGUUGGAAAGUUGCGGCGGUUGGGGAUGGACGGGCGGCUGAUCAGCUUGUUGGUGGGGUAGUGGCUUACCAAGGGAUUGACUGGUAGGCGGCAUGGGAGGGUGGCCGGGGACAUGGCUACUGCGGUAGGGCGCAGUCGGGUACGGGGGGCAAUGGGGGGGAGUAUUGCACAAUGGGCCGGAGUGGGUUGCAGCGACGCCGGGGUCGGGAUGACGGCCUUUGGGGUGUAAACCGCUGUAGGCUAAGACGAAGCGGGAGUGACGGUAAUGAGAGAAGAAGCACCGGCUAACUACGUG
Molecule: ribosomal RNA, 468 nt
Filed under: uncultured bacterium
Lineage: Bacteria
Description: partial 16S ribosomal RNA
Rfam family: Bacterial small subunit ribosomal RNA
Source: RNAcentral